GACGAACGCUGGCGGCGUGCCUAAUGCAUGCAAGUCGCACGCACCGAGCUUGCUCGGUGAGUGGCGCACGGCUGAGGAUCACGUGGGAACAUGCCUCCUUGUGGGGGACAACAGCGCGAAAGCGCUGCUAAUCCCGCAUACGCUCGUGCAAACGAGGAAAGCUGGCAACAGCGCAGGGAGAGUGGCCCGCGGCCCAUCAGGGGUUGGUGGGGUAAUGGCCUACCAAGCCGAUGACGGUAGCUGGUCUGUGAGGACAGCCAGCCAGACUGGGACUGAGACACGGCCCAGACUCCUACGGGA
This 300-nucleotide ribosomal RNA is filed under the name uncultured bacterium. RNAcentral describes it as "bacterial SSU rRNA". It matches the Rfam family "Bacterial small subunit ribosomal RNA", at positions 28 to 346 of the family's 1533-position model. The record is from RNAcentral.